Long non-coding RNA from Oreochromis aureus, 2073 nucleotides. RefSeq lists it as uncharacterized. The transcript is spliced from 6 exons. The record is from RefSeq and is a predicted model, not a curated record. Lineage: Eukaryota; Metazoa; Chordata; Actinopteri; Cichliformes; Cichlidae.
AGAUGACCAGAGAGCCUGCACUUCAAAGCACAGAGAGGAUGAAGUGUUUUGUCAACGAACUAACAGAGGACUCAUAAAACCACAGCACCCUGCAGUGCGUUACUCAGACUGCUCUGCUGGUUUACUUCAUAAAGCAGAGCUGCCUGACUGCAUAUGCUGAUUAAUGCCGCACGACGACUCUGCGAGCACAUCAAAAAGGGUCGCGGGGGCGCUGGAGCCUAUCCCAGCUGUGUUAGGGCGAGAGGCGGGGAGAAAAGCUGUUGUGUUACUCAGCCAUCAGCGUGCUGUUGUCAUGGACUGACUGGCCCAACGCUUCAACAACAGCCUUUCUGGAGGUUUACUCACAGCCAGAUUGUAAAGGAGUCAGCAAUCCAGCCCAGCCCCACCCUACUGGAGCCCACCAUGUCUUUGAUGGCAGAAAAACAGCCAUCAAAGCAGAAAAACCACAUUAUCUUUCUCAGGCUUCCCUUCCAAGCUAGUGAGAGAGAGAGACUGUGUGAAGAGGGGAAAAAAGGCUGGGUUGUUACUGGAAGCAGAAAAUAAAGAAGAUACUGGAGAAUUACCCAUGGUGGAGGGCCUGACAUGGGUGGCAGGAGUUGACUCACAUGCUUGUCAUAGAUGGUGCUUCUCAGCUCAUCUAGGGGAAGACCAAGGAAUUCGCCAAACUAGCCAAACGAGAGACAUAAUGUCUCCAACAUGUCCUGGAUCUGGCCCAGGGCUUCUUCCCAGUAGGUCAUGCCUGAAGAAGCUCACCUAUAAGCAGUAGAAGAGGCAUCCGAGGGAGGUACCCGAACCAUCUCUACUUACUCUCAUUUUAAACCCCAUCCCUUCAGCUCAGAGUGUUCUGAAUCGUGGCAUGGAGCAACCUUCCAAAAAACAGGAGAAACAUUUCAGAAAGUCCCUCUGUUUGGAGCCAAGUGUUAAUGCAAACCCUUUGACUCUACAGGAGGCAGUGAGGAGGAGGAGGUGAAACCAACCCAAGCUGAAGAGCAGCACAGGCGAAUGAUAUCACUUCUCUCUUCAUUAGUCCGGCUUGCAUGUGAUCUCACCCUAUAUUCACAGAGAUUAAAUAUCUAUUUUGCAUUAAGUCAGAGCACAACACAUAAUGUCAAAAGUUACUCUUUUAGAAGAAGCUGUUUAUAUACUCAAGUCUAAAGUGUAAAGAAAUUAGCAGAAAAGAGAAUCUUUUUUUCAUCUAAAGUUUCAUCCUAACCAAAAAAGGUAGGUUUUAAAUAUAUUUUCUAUUGUAACAGAAGAGCUAAAGGUUAUUCCAAGCAAUUUGGACAACUUUGGUGUUUCAUCUGCUGCCAGAGUUUUCCAGUCAAAAUGCUGGUAGCACCCACAAAGAGCUUUCUUAGUUUGGUCAUGUCAGUAUAGACCAUAUCUGUGAAUUGAAGACUUACAGAGAAAAGGGGGACUUCAGUGCUGUAACACCCCACCCACUCCCACGCCCCUCCACUAGUGUGGUUGUUCUUUCUCAUGUCAGCUUAAUGUUUUGCAUUCAACAGCUCUUGGCUGCUGCAUUUAAAGCCAGAAAGAUCACAUGCGCUGUCAUUUUCAGUAAUAGAUUUUGCCACUUUACUAAACACACACAUCAGUCUGUUUAUCAUUGCAAAAGAACAGAUUUGAAUCAUUGUAGUGUCCCACAAAGACUUGUGAUCAAAAUGUGAUUGCUUUUUGCAAAAUUAGACAGGACUUUUAACUUUAUUCAAACUGCAGUUGCCAUUUCGUUUGUAGUUUAUUAUGUCAUCUGCAGCUUUUCAGGGGUUUAUUUCUUGUUCAGUGAAGAAAAUUUACUCUGUUUUGUCUUAGAACAAGUCAGUUAAAGUCAGGUUCAAUGUCUGAAGUGGAAAUGCAACAGCAGACAUGUGAUCAUCACUGACCAGUUGAAGUUUGAUUUUGUUAAACUUCAUGAUUGAGACUGUUUCUUCAUAUGAAUGUAGAUCCACAGAGAGGCAUUUUCUCAGCAUGUCUCAUUAUUUGUGGAAAAUCCUCCUCUUUGAGAGAAGAAUAAAAAUCCAGCAGGCAUACUGACUUGAAGUGCUCUGCCAGUGAUGUAAAGUAAAAGUAAAG